AAACGUUAGCUGCGCCACUGAGAAACAUUGUUCCCCAACAGCUAGUUGACAUCGUUUACGGCGUGGACUACCAGGGUAUCUAAUCCUGUUCGCUACCCACGCUUUCGCACCUUAGUGUCAGUACAGAUCCAGGAGGCUGCCUUCGCCAUUGGUAUUCUUCACAAUAUCCACGCAUUCCACCGCUACACUGUGAAGUCUACCUCCCUCUAUCGUACUCUAGUGAAUCAGUUUUGGAUGCAGUUCCCAGGUUGAGCCCGGGGAUUUCACAUCCAACUUAAUAAACCACCUACGCGCGCUUUACGCCCAGUAAUUCCGAUUAACGCUUGGAUCUUCCGUAUUACCGCGGCUGCUGGCACGGAAUUAGCCGGUCCUUGUUCUGAAGGUAAUGUCACGGUUAUUGGGUAUUAACCAAUAACUUUUCUUCCCAACUUAAAGUGCUUUACAACCCUAGGGCCUUC
RNAcentral lists this ribosomal RNA (458 nucleotides) under uncultured Gammaproteobacteria bacterium. Its description in RNAcentral is "partial 16S ribosomal RNA". Lineage: Bacteria; Pseudomonadati; Pseudomonadota; Gammaproteobacteria. The record is from RNAcentral.